This 540-nucleotide ribosomal RNA is filed under the name Triticum aestivum (bread wheat). RNAcentral describes it as "partial small subunit ribosomal RNA". Lineage: Eukaryota; Viridiplantae; Streptophyta; Magnoliopsida; Poales; Poaceae. The record is from RNAcentral.
AUGUCCAGCCGCCCCUCCUCUCCUCACACAGAGCGGCGCAGCUCCAACCUUGAAGAUCGACCGGCAGGGAGGACGGCGGCAGACGGCCGCGCGACGCGACCACAUCCAGGCGGCGGGCAGGAACCACCGGCAAGCUGGAGCAUCUACCGUCGACCAGCUAGCCACCAAGCCCCAGCGGCAUCCAUCUGCCGCAAGUCUCUUCAGAUGGAUGAUCAAGGCAGGAUGAUAGACUUUGGUAUUCAAGGCCAUGAGUUCAGUCAAAGGACUACAAUACCUUGUCCAAAUAUUGGUCACCGUCAGGACAAUGGACUUGAUGACCUGGAGUUUACUCAAGGAGCUACAGGACACCAAACAAAUAUUGGUCAGGACAAUGGACUUGAUGACUUGGAGUUCAGUCAAAGGAUCAUAGGACGCCGUCCUAAUUUUGGUACGCUGCAGCGUUGUGAUGACCUCGACUUUGACCAAAGGAGUGCAAGGCAGCAUGAGGAUAGUGGUACAAAAUCUCUUAAUCUCAGUCUUGUUAAUGUGGUGAAUUACUGA